CUUCAGCUUCUCCAACAGAGAGACAGAAAGAAGGGUUGCAGCCAUUUUCUACUACACUGGACCUCAAUGGCCAAAAUGGGUUUCCUUUGUUCUUAAAAGGGAUCUAAAGCUUCAUUUCAUCACCUUUUUUAUGGACUAUCACACAUUACAGUCUUCUCUCUGUGUACAGGAUUUGAGAAGAAGGAAGAAAUGUUGGACCAUAUCCCUUUGACAUUUUUUAAACUUGUUCUUUUUUUUUUCCUACCUCUCUCUCUCUCUCUCACUCUGUCUUUUUCCAGGAAUCCAUCUUUGUCCUGGCAAACUAGGUCACGGCACACCCAUAUAACAGCAUUUUGUUUCUAAAGUGAAAUGCUACUGAAUAAAACAGCUGAGUGUAUAACUAACUGCUUUAGCAAUGUUUUAAAGAGAGAAAAAAGAGAAAAGAAAUACACAUGAAAACUGAUCAGCUGCUUUUGCAGGCCCUACACUGUGCAAGGCCAAGUAUGAAUGUGCCAUUGAGUAAGUUUAUCUUUAUUGUCUUUGCUUAUGUAUAAAGGUUGAAUGUCUUAUAUAUAAUUAAACUUUGGUAUUUUUAUGUGGAUUGGCUGAGUAUUAUUAUUAUUAGUAGUAUUACUAUUAUUAUUAUUUAAUUCUAUCUGGUCCCCCAUGGCACUGUGUGUGUGUGAGAGAGGGAGACGGCUUUUUCUAUAUUCAGUACAUUCAGCUGCAUGCUGUUUUAUCCAUUUUUAAAUUGAUUGUUUCUCACGUUUCAGAAAACACGGCAGGCCAGAGAGAGAAAGAGAGAGAGAGAGAGAGAGAGAGAAAAUAAAGGACGAUUGGCCUUUUUGCAAAAAUGCUGAAUCACAGGAAUAGUUGGUAGGUUAAUAUGGUGGUUGUUGGUACUAAAACCUUUCAGCUUUCACAGAAAACAGUGGGUCAUCAACCAGACCCCACAAUUUAUCAGUCAGCAGGACAUUUCACAGCAAAAUAAGCCACGACUUAGUGCUGAAAGUACAGUUAAAUGUUAUAUCAAACGUACAGUUCUCUUCCUAAAGCAUGAGCAUUAUUAAGUAUGCAGUGUAAGCCUAGUUGACCUUGUGUCAAGGACACGUUUUCAUAUCUGUAGUUUUUUCUUUUUUUUAUCCCAACAGCACAUCAUUUAGAUAGAUUUUUUUCUUCUCCUUUUUUUUUGAAGAAUGGACAACAAGCACAGAAUCGGUGGAGAUAUGAAAUAUUUACCUUCACAUUUUUGCUGAAAUAUUUUUAUCAGGCCUAAAGGCAGAAGAAAGAGGGACGUUUUCAUUCCCAUCGCCGGAUCCUUUAAACUCCUUUAAGGCUUUUUUCCCCCUUUUUUACAGUUUUAACUCCUGAGGAGCACAAACAAGAGUGCAAACCUUCACUACAUCGUCAGUUUUUCCUGCUUUCGGUCUUUUUUAAAAGAGCUUUGCACCUGUGAGGAGUGAAACUGCUGCAAAUCUUCAGCAGAUUUAGUUUUAGAGAAUAUGCAAACCAUCCCCCCUCUCUCCCUCUCUCUGUCUCUCUCUCUCCCUCUUCCUCAAGCAUUCGCUCUUCAUUUUUACUCAGCAGGAGAAAGACAAGAACUGUAGGUUUCCAUCUGCGGACUGCCUUUAUUUAUAAGGUGCGUGCUGUUUAAUGGCGGAUCUGCUGUGCUGCUGCAAAAUGGCUCCUUCCCUCUGAGAACAACACCACACACACACACACCCAGACACACAUCCUCAGAGCUCACACACACAGCCUGCGCAGAAGAUUCACAGUGAAUGUUAAUGUAAAUCCAUAUUUAUGGACAUAUACACGAA
Molecule: long non-coding RNA, 1796 nt
Organism: Colossoma macropomum (tambaqui)
Lineage: Eukaryota; Metazoa; Chordata; Actinopteri; Characiformes; Serrasalmidae
Exons: 2
Source: RefSeq, a predicted model, not a curated record